RNAcentral lists this ribosomal RNA (734 nucleotides) under Escherichia coli. Its description in RNAcentral is "partial 23S ribosomal RNA". It matches the Rfam family "Bacterial large subunit ribosomal RNA", at positions 2064 to 2797 of the family's 2925-position model. Lineage: Bacteria; Pseudomonadati; Pseudomonadota; Gammaproteobacteria; Enterobacterales; Enterobacteriaceae. The record is from RNAcentral.
GUGUACCCGCGGCAAGACGGAAAGACCCCGUGAACCUUUACUAUAGCUUGACACUGAACAUUGAGCCUUGAUGUGUAGGAUAGGUGGGAGGCUUUGAAGUGUGGACGCCAGUCUGCAUGGAGCCGACCUUGAAAUACCACCCUUUAAUGUUUGAUGUUCUAACGUUGGCCCGUAAUCCGGGUUGCGGACAGUGUCUGGUGGGUAGUUUGACUGGGGCGGUCUCCUCCUAAAGAGUAACGGAGGAGCACGAAGGUUGGCUAAUCCUGGUCGGACAUCAGGAGGUUAGUGCAAUGGCAUAAGCCAGCUUGACUGCGAGCGUGACGGCGCGAGCAGGUGCGAAAGCAGGUCAUAGUGAUCCGGUGGUUCUGAAUGGAAGGGCCAUCGCUCAACGGAUAAAAGGUACUCCGGGGAUAACAGGCUGAUACCGCCCAAGAGUUCAUAUCGACGGCGGUGUUUGGCACCUCGAUGUCGGCUCAUCACAUCCUGGGGCUGAAGUAGGUCCCAAGGGUAUGGCUGUUCGCCAUUUAAAGUGGUACGCGAGCUGGGUUUAGAACGUCGUGAGACAGUUCGGUCCCUAUCUGCCGUGGGCGCUGGAGAACUGAGGGGGGCUGCUCCUAGUACGAGAGGACCGGAGUGGACGCAUCACUGGUGUUCGGGUUGUCAUGCCAAUGGCACUGCCCGGUAGCUAAAUGCGGAAGAGAUAAGUGCUGAAAGCAUCUAAGCACGAAACUUGC